GAUGAACGCUGGCGGCGUGCCUAAUACAUGCAAGUCGAGCGAACGGACGAGAAUCUUGCUUCUCUGAUGUUAGCGGCGGACGGGUGAGUAACACGUGGAUAACCUACCUAUAAGACUGGGAUAACUUCGGGAAACCGGAGCUAAUACCGGAUAAUAUUUUGAACCGCAUGGUUGAAAAGUGAAAUACGGUCUUGCUGUCACUUAUAGAUGGAUCCGCGCUGCAUUAGCUAGUUGGUAAGGUAACGGCUUACCAAGGCAACGAUGCAUAGCCGACCUGAGAGGGUGAUCGGCCACACUGGAACUGAGACACGGUCCUGACUCCUACGGGAGGCAGCAGUAGGGAAUCUUCCGCAAUGGGCGAAAGCCUGACGGAGCAACGCCGCGCGAGUGAUGAAGGUCUUCGGAUCGUAAAACUCUGUUAUUAGGGAAGAACAUAUGUGUAAGUAACUGUGCACAUCUUGACGGUACCUAAUCAGAAAGCCACGGCUAACUACGUG
This 497-nucleotide ribosomal RNA is filed under the name uncultured bacterium. RNAcentral's name for it is "partial 16S ribosomal RNA". It matches the Rfam family "Bacterial small subunit ribosomal RNA", at positions 28 to 507 of the family's 1533-position model. The record is from RNAcentral.